Molecule: ribosomal RNA, 479 nt
Filed under: uncultured anaerobic ammonium-oxidizing bacterium
Lineage: Bacteria
Description: bacterial SSU rRNA
Rfam family: Bacterial small subunit ribosomal RNA
Source: RNAcentral
UUUCGCAAUGCCCGAAAGGGUGACGAAGCGACGCCGCGUGAGUGAGGAAGGCCUUCGGGUUGUAAAGCUCUGUCAGGAGUUAAGAAAUAUAAGUGUGUUAAUACCACAUUUAUUUGACGAAGGCUCCAAAGGAAGCCACGGCUAACUCUGUGCCAGCAGCCGCGGUAAUACAGAGGUGGCAAGCGUUGUUCGGAAUUAUUGGGCGUAAAGAGCACGUAGGUGGGUUUGUAAGUCAGAUGUGAAAGCCUUCUGUUCAACGGAAGAAUUGCAUCUGAAACUGCGAGUCUUGAGCGUAGGAGGGGAGAAUGGAACUUCUGGUGGAGCGGUGAAAUGCGUAGAUAUCAGAAGGAACGCCGGCGGCGAAAGCGAUUCUCUGGCCUAUUACUGACACUCAGUGUGCGAAAGCUAGGGGAGCAAACGGGAUUAGAUACCCCGGUAGUCCUAGCUGUAAACGAUGGGCACUAAGUAGAGGGGUUUUA